AUACGUAGGUGACAAGCGUUAUCCGGAUUUACUGGGCGUAAAGGGCGUGUAGGCGGUCUUGCAAGUCAGAAGUGAAAUUCCUGAGCUCAACUCGGGCGCUGCUUCUGAAACUGCAGGACUUGAGUGCUGGAGGGGAUAGCGGAAUUCCUAGUGGAGCGGUAAAAUGCGCAGAUAUUAGGAAGAACACUGGUGGCGAAGGCGGCGAUCUGGACAGUAACUGACGCUGAGGCGCGAAAGCGUGGGGAGCAAACAGGAUUAGAUACCCGGGUAGUCCACGCCGUAAACGAUGAAUACUAGGUGUAGGGGGUAUCGACUCCCUCUGUGCCGCAGUUAACACAAUAAGUAUUCCGCCUGGGGAGUACGGCCGCAAGGUUGAAACUCAAAUGAAUUGGCGGGG
This 397-nucleotide ribosomal RNA is filed under the name uncultured bacterium. RNAcentral describes it as "partial 16S ribosomal RNA". It matches the Rfam family "Bacterial small subunit ribosomal RNA", at positions 523 to 918 of the family's 1533-position model. The record is from RNAcentral.